CAGAUGAUCUCCCUUCAGAGGUUUGACUACAAGAAGAAUAACGCACUCAGUGACCCAGCAGUGGUGUGUAUUUCUGUAACACUUCCCUUGUUGACGUUACUGGAAAGGACUCAUUUUAAGCAACACAAAAGCAACUUCACUCCAGAGGGCCAAAGACUUCAUGCAAGCAAAUUCCAGCAAUCUCACAAUCCAGCUGUUGGGAGACUCACCUCUACUUGGAACCCAAGUAUAAACGCUUUCACAAAAUCAGCUGCUUUCGUUAGGGCACUGAGAUCCUUUGUCUCUUGGCAAGUCUGCAAGACAAGAAGUUACAUUUGCAAAUUAAUACCACGCAAACAGGAUCAGGACUUGAAACAUCUAAGAGGCGAAGGCUAAUCAUUAAAAAGCCACGUUUAGGCAA
Long non-coding RNA from Calidris pugnax (ruff), 400 nucleotides. RefSeq lists it as uncharacterized. The transcript has 2 exons. Lineage: Eukaryota; Metazoa; Chordata; Aves; Charadriiformes; Scolopacidae. The record is from RefSeq and is a predicted model, not a curated record.